GUGAAGCGGCAACAGCUCAAAUUUGAAAUCUGGCGCUUGCGCCCGAGUUGUAAUUUGCAGAGGAUGCUUCCUGCGCGGUGCCUUCCGAGUUCCCUGGAACGGGACGCCAUAGAGGGUGAGAGCCCCGUACGGUCGGCAACCAAGCUUUGUGUAGCACCUUCGACGAGUCGAGUAGUUUGGGAAUGCUGCUCUAAAUGGGAGGUAAACUCCUUCUAAAGCUAAAUAUUGGCCAGAGACCGAUAGCGCACAAGUAGAGUGAUCGAAAGAUGAAAAGCACUUUGAAAAGAGAGUCAAACAGCACGUGAAAUUGUUGAAAGGGAAGCGCUUGCGACCAGACUUGGGCCUGGUAGUUCAGCCGUCCUUCUGGGCGGUGCACUCUGCCGGUUCAGGCCAGCAUCAGUUGCCGGUUGGGGAGAAAGACGGCGGGAAUGUGGCUCCUCGGAGUGUUAUAGCCCGCUGUUAUGUCCUUCCGGCGACUGAGGUUAGCGUUCUGCACGGAUGCUGGCGUAAUGGUCAUCAGCGACCCGUCUUGAAACACGGACCAAGGAGUCAUCCUGGCAUGCGAGUGUUUGGGUGCCAAACCCCUACGCGUAAUGAAAGUGAACGGAGGUGAGAGCUUCGGCGCAUCAUCGACCGAUCCUGAUGUUCUCGGAUGGAUUUGAGUAAGAGCAUGUCGGGCUGGACCCGAAAGAAGGUGAACUAUGCUUGGAUAGGGCAAAGCCAGAGGAAACUCUGGUGGAGGCUCGCAGCGGUUCUGACGUGCAAAUCGAUCGUCAAAUCUGAGCAUGGGGGCGAAAGACU
Molecule: ribosomal RNA, 801 nt
Filed under: Cucurbitinus constrictus
Lineage: Eukaryota; Fungi; Ascomycota; Sordariomycetes; Microascales; Halosphaeriaceae
Description: Sordariomycetes sp. LL-2020a partial large subunit ribosomal RNA
Rfam family: Eukaryotic large subunit ribosomal RNA
Source: RNAcentral